ACCUGCCCUAUGNNNAGUUNNNAUUAAAUGGCUGCGGUAUAUUGACCGUGCAAAGGUAGCAUAAUAAUUAGUUUUUUAAUUGGGAACUGGUAUGAAUGGUUGGACGAGAAAAAUACUGUCUCAGUUUAAUUUUAAUUAGAAUUUUAUUUUUAAGUUAAAAAGCUUAAAUAAUUUUAAAAGACGAGAAGACCCUAUAGAGUUUUAUAUAAAAUUNAUAUAUUUAAAAAAAAUAAAGNNUAUAUAUUUUUUNAUUUAUUUANAUUNUUAUAUUUGAUUGGGGUGAUUGAAAAAUUAAAUAAACUUUUUUUUNNNNAUUAAUAACAUAAGUUUAUGAUUAAUUG
RNAcentral lists this ribosomal RNA (341 nucleotides) under Epactoides mahaboi. RNAcentral's name for it is "partial 16S ribosomal RNA". Lineage: Eukaryota; Metazoa; Arthropoda; Insecta; Coleoptera; Scarabaeidae. The record is from RNAcentral.